GCGGCUGCCGUACUCUAGCUCCAACUGUUACAUGUGAUUAGUUUCAGUGGAAAAUCUAAUCAAAUUUAGCCUUCUGCUGUAGUUGCAGAUGUAAAUUAACUUUCUAUUCUUUUUUGAAAAUGGUUGUGUGGUUGGAAUGGCUAAUGACGGGUUGAGACACUGGAGGCUGUGGAGAACGAGAUUUAUUGCUGCAGAGAAUACUUCCCCCAAAAUCUGGGAAAAUCACAUUUCUCCAAGUGUUGUAGUAUAAACAGCAGCGGACCAUUGAUGAUUUUCUGGUAGAGAGCAGAAUUCAUGUGUCCCUCAAUUACUGCAAGUCGCCCUGGCCCUGAAUCAGCAAAGCAUUCCCACACAUCACACUUCCACCACCAUGCUUGACCUUCCACUUUCGACUCAUCUGUCCACAGAACAUUCUCCCAAAAUGUCAGCAAGGAUCAUCAAGUGGAGUAAUGAACAGUGACCUUCAUUGAUGCAAGAGAGUUCUGCAGUUCCUUGGAUGUUGUCCUUGGCUUUUUUGUGACUCCCUGGAUGAGUUGUCGCUGUGCUCCUGGAGAAAUGUUGGAAGGUUGACAACUUCCGGGAAGGUUCCCUACUGUGCCAAGUUUUCUUCAUUUGGAGGUGGCAACAAGUCAGCCUCAUGAGGGAUCAACAUACUCCGGCAGAAAGGACUGCCAGAUGGUCCUUAACCAUGCAGAAUACACCAGUGUUAAACUGGGAGAGCUGGGACAGACCUGUGAGAUAAUGCUCGAUCCACAGAUGUAAAUCAUGUAUUGAAUAGACCAUUGCUUUGUAAUAUUUGGUAGUAGACCUGAUAGGAAAUGUCAAACAGUCUCCAAACCACACACUGUUUCCAUAAUGUAAGGAAAAGUUGAACAACCAAUCCAGUGAUUUACUGAAAUAUAUGCAUCUUUUGUUGUAAAAUUGC
Molecule: long non-coding RNA, 925 nt
Organism: Xyrauchen texanus (razorback sucker)
Lineage: Eukaryota; Metazoa; Chordata; Actinopteri; Cypriniformes; Catostomidae
Exons: 6
Source: RefSeq, a predicted model, not a curated record